This is a non-coding RNA of Pelobates cultripes (western spadefoot toad), 266 nucleotides long. The record is from the annotation of a GenBank genome assembly. Lineage: Eukaryota; Metazoa; Chordata; Amphibia; Anura; Pelobatidae.
AUUGGGACAUAUAUAGAAAAAGACAACUAUGUUCCGCAGAGUAGCUGUUGACAUUAUAGUUGCGCAGGCACUUUGUUGACUCUAGAGAACCUCGGGCCAAUCGCACAUCCCCGUGACGGCGACUCUGCAUUCGGAUGUCAUCCACAUCAACUUUUGAUGCCAGUUUCUGCGCCUUCCAUAGUGACCAUGGGUAACGGGGAAUCAGGGUUCCAUUCCGUACAGGGACCCUGAGAAACGGCUACUACAUGCAAGGAAGGCAGCAGGCG